UUGACCUCGGAUCAGGUAGGGAUACCCGCUGAACUUAAGCAUAUCAAUAAGCGGAGGAAAAGAAACCAACCGGGAUUGCCUCAGUAACGGCGAGUGAAGCGGCAAGAGCUCAAAUUUGAAAGCUGGCUCCUUCGGAGUCCGCAUUGUAAUUUGCAGAGGAUGCUUUGGGUGCGGCCCCCGUCUAAGUGCCCUGGAACGGGCCGUCAGAGAGGGUGAGAAUCCCGUCUUGGGCGGGGUGUCCGUGCCCGUGUAAAGCUCCUUCGACGAGUCGAGUUGUUUGGGAAUGCAGCUCUAAAUGGGUGGUAAAUUUCAUCUAAAGCUAAAUACUGGCCGGAGACCGAUAGCGCACAAGUAGAGUGAUCGAAAGAUGAAAAGCACUUUGAAAAGAGAGUUAAACAGCACGUGAAAUUGUUGAAAGGGAAGCGCUUGCGACCAGACUCGCCCGCGGGGUUCAGCCGGCAUUCGUGCCGGUGUACUUCCCCGUGGGCGGGCCAGCGUCGGUUUGGGCGGCCGGUCAAAGGCCCCUGGAAUGUAGUGCCCUCCGGGGCACCUUAUAGCCAGGGGUGCAAUGCGGCCAGCCUGGACCGAGGAACGCGCUUCGGCACGGACGCUGGCAUAAUGGUC
RNAcentral lists this ribosomal RNA (624 nucleotides) under Aspergillus niger. RNAcentral describes it as "partial 28S ribosomal RNA". It matches the Rfam family "Eukaryotic large subunit ribosomal RNA", at positions 1 to 639 of the family's 3401-position model. The record is from RNAcentral. Lineage: Eukaryota; Fungi; Ascomycota; Eurotiomycetes; Eurotiales; Aspergillaceae.